CAUUAUAGAUCAGGCUCAGUUCUCUCUACAUUGACAUGACGUUGCAUCAAGGUCGAUUUUUUCUUCAUGAUAACAUUGAUGAGAAAAACUUAGUGCAGUAGUAAUAAUCGAACUCGACCAUAACAAUAAGAAAAUACUUUCCCAAUGAUGUAGUUAUGAUGUUUCGAUCUCUGAUGCUUAACAAUGUACAAUACAAUACACUAACGUCAACUCGGUAUAUAUAAAAUUCCAAAAAACUCCUCAAACGCUUUCCGAAACAAACAAAUUUCUAUAAAACUACUAGCAAUGAAAUUGAAUUGCUAUCCAGAGCAAGCCUUCUCAUGAUUAUAUGUGGAUAUUUUAUGUAUGUUUAUAUGUAUAAGCGUUUAUCAGUUCAUUACGAAUCUAAUCGACAUCCAAUUUUGUAGAUUAUGACAAUUACAUGACGUAAGACUCACAUACAAGCUACAGAUUGUGCACAUCGCAACAAUUUGAUAAAACAUUUUGGGCCAAUGGUUUACUGAUUCGAUAAAAAUAUAAUUCAGCAGGAUAAAAUCAUCAUCGAUAGUACAUUCAUUGGAUAAAACCAUCAGUCGAUGGUUGUAUUGAUUGGAUUAAAUCUUCAGUCGUUAUUGGAUUGAUUGGAUGAAGUCAUCAGUCGUUGGUACACACAUUGUGUAAAAUCAUCAGUCGAUGGUACACUGAUUGGAUGAAAUCAGCAGUCGAUGAUGCACUGAUUGGAUGAAAUCAGCAGUCGAUAAAACAUUGGUUGGACAAAACCAAUUAUUUUUUGUUUGUUUUUGUUUAUUUUUUUUGUUACUCUUUCCCUUAAGUUUGUUUGUUUGCUUGUUUGUAUUUUGUAACAGUGCAACCACAUUUCUUAUGAAAAGUGUUGUCAAAGCA
Long non-coding RNA from Hydractinia symbiolongicarpus, 882 nucleotides. RefSeq lists it as uncharacterized. The transcript is spliced from 2 exons. The record is from RefSeq and is a predicted model, not a curated record. NCBI's taxonomy places the organism in Eukaryota, Metazoa, Cnidaria, Hydrozoa, Anthoathecata, Hydractiniidae.